Suricata suricatta (meerkat) is the source of this 273-nucleotide long non-coding RNA. RefSeq lists it as uncharacterized. The record is from RefSeq and is a predicted model, not a curated record. The transcript is spliced from 3 exons. Lineage: Eukaryota; Metazoa; Chordata; Mammalia; Carnivora; Herpestidae.
CCAGCAAGAGACAGGUCACAGAGGAGGAGGCAGAGGGAAGAAGAUGGAGGAUUCCAUAAGGAAGGAACCAAGGUGCACGCAAAGACAUGGAGCUCUCCUGUCACCAGUUUCUCCUCGACUGCAGGAACAGGCCAGUGCUUAAUGACGUUUUCCAAUUUUUCUUCAACCAGAAGCUAAUGGUGAGAUCUCUGGAGUUAGUCAGAGUUGGACUUCAAUCCACAGCCUGGAUAGCCACGUGACUCCUACAAGUCAGUCUCUGAACAUCUGCUUCCU